AGCGAACGUUAGCGGCGGGCCUAACACAUGCAAGUCGAACGAGAAAAUCCCUUCGGGGGUGAGUACAGUGGCGCACGGGUGAGGAACGCGUAGGUAAUCUACCGUUUGGCGGGGGACAACACUCCGAAAGGAAUGCUAAUACCGCGUAAGACCACACUCACUACGGUGAGAGCGGUUAAAGGUGGCCUCUUCUUGAAAGCUACCACCAAACGAUGAGCCUGCGUCCCAUCAGCUUGUUGGUGAGGUAAAAGCUUACCAAGGCGAAGACGGGUAGCUGGUCUGAGAGGAUGAUCAGCCACACUGGUACUGGAACACGGACCAGACUCCUACGGGAGGCAGCAGUGAGGAAUAUUGGGCAAUGGGCGCAAGCCUGACCCAGCCACGCCGCGUGUGUGAUGAAGGCCUUCGGGUCGUAAAGCACUGUGGGGAGAGACGAAAAACUUCCGUUCGAAUAGGGCGGAAGCUUGACGGUACCUCCUUAGCAAGCACCGGCUAACUCUGUG
This 503-nucleotide ribosomal RNA is filed under the name uncultured bacterium. RNAcentral's name for it is "bacterial SSU rRNA". It matches the Rfam family "Bacterial small subunit ribosomal RNA", at positions 29 to 507 of the family's 1533-position model. The record is from RNAcentral.